UAAAACGUGCCAUGUGACGGCGGAGAGGUUGGGUGAGAACGACACGUGUAACAUCAUUAUCAAGCAGGUACAAAAGCCUCAAGGCUUAAGAGAGGGGUCAGGGUGAGAAAAAGUCGUAUAAAAGAGAGAGAAAAGGCGACAGAGAUCAGUCGAGUGAGCAUCUCCGACACGGCAACUACUGCAGCGCACUAUUUGUCAUCAACUGCCUUCUUCAUUAUAUUAUCUAUUCGCAAUCAUGGUUUACUAUGGCGUCGUGCUGCUGUUUGGUGUCGUAUUGCUGAUGGCUAGGUCGACCACUGGUGUACCGAUGUCUCCUGGGUAUGGCGAGUAUCAAAGCACAACCUACGCUGCUCCAGCUUACUACACCGAGGCUCCCAAGUACUACACUACCAAGGCACC
Long non-coding RNA from Daphnia pulicaria, 399 nucleotides. RefSeq lists it as uncharacterized. NCBI's taxonomy places the organism in Eukaryota, Metazoa, Arthropoda, Branchiopoda, Diplostraca, Daphniidae. The transcript has 2 exons. The record is from RefSeq and is a predicted model, not a curated record.